This 880-nucleotide ribosomal RNA is filed under the name Lactiplantibacillus plantarum. Its description in RNAcentral is "bacterial SSU rRNA". It matches the Rfam family "Bacterial small subunit ribosomal RNA", at positions 66 to 928 of the family's 1533-position model. The record is from RNAcentral. Lineage: Bacteria; Bacillati; Bacillota; Bacilli; Lactobacillales; Lactobacillaceae.
GUUAGCAUCAUAGAUCUUACAUUCUGCCUGAGCGGCGAACUGGUGAGUAACACGUGGGAAACCUGCCCAGAAGCGGGGGAUAACACCUGGAAACAGAUGCUAAUACCGCAUAACAACUUGGACCGCAAGGUCCGAGUUUGAAAGAUGGCUUCGGCUAUCACUUUUGGAUGGUCCCGCGGCGUAUUAGCUAGAUGGUGAGGUAACGGCUCACCAUGGCAAUGAUACGUAGCCCACCUGAGAGGGUAAUCGGCCACAUUGGGACUGAGACACGGCCCAAACUCCUACGGGAGGCAGCAGUAGGGAAUCUUCCACAAUGGACGAAAGUCUGAUGGAGCAACGCCGCGUGAGUGAAGAAGGGUUUCGGCUCGUAAAACUCUGUUGUUAAAGAAGAACAUAUCUGAGAGUAACUGUUCAGGUAUUGACGGUAUUUAACCAGAAAGCCACGGCUAACUACCUGCCAGCAGCCGCGGUAAUACGUAGGUGGCAAGCGUUGUCCGGAUUUAUUGGGCGUAAAGCGACCGCUGGCGGUUUUUUAAGUCUGAUGUGAAAGCCUUCGGCUCAACCGAAGAAGUGCAUCGGAAACUGGGAAACUUGAGUGCAGAAGAGGACAGUGGAACUCCAUGUGUAGCGGUGAAAUGCGUAGAUAUAUGGAAGAACACCAGUGGCGAAGGCGGCUGUCUGGUCUGUAACUGACGCUGAGGCUCGAAAGUAUGGGUAGCAAACAGGAUUAGAUACCCUGGUAGUCCAUACCGUAACGAUGAAUGCUAAGUGUUGGAGGGUUUCCCGCCCUUCAGUGCUGCAGCUAACGCAUUAAGAUUUCCGCCUCGGGGAGUACGGCCUCAGGCUAAACCUCCAAAGGAAUUGACGGUGUCCCGCCAAU